AGAAGAUGAACAAGAGUGAAAAGAAAAGAAGUGAGAAAAGGAAAAGGAAAAAGUAAAAAAACAAAAGUUGCUUUUCUUUUCUUUCCUUCAAGUUUUCUUUCCUUUUACUUUUCUUUUUCCCUUUUCCCUCUCUC
RNAcentral lists this non-coding RNA (134 nucleotides) under Aurantiochytrium limacinum. Lineage: Eukaryota; Bigyra; Thraustochytrida; Thraustochytriidae. The record is from RNAcentral.